AGAAUCAACGCUGGCGGCGUGCCUAACACAUGCAAGUCGAACGAGAAAGUGGAGCAAUCCAUGAGUAAAGUGGCGACCGGGUGAGUAACACGUGACUAACCUACCUUCGAGUGGGGGAUAACAUCGGGAAACCGAUGCUAAUACCGCAUAACAUCGCAAGAUCAAAGCAGCAAUGCGCUGGAAGAGGGGGUCGCGGCUGAUUAGCUAGUUGGCGGGUAACGGCCACCAAGGCGAAGAUCGGUAGCCGGCCUGAGAGGGCGCACGGCCACACUGGAACUGAAACACGGUCCAGACUCCUACGGGAGGCAGCAGUGGGGAAUUUUGCGCAAUGGGGGAAACCCUGACGCAGCAACGCCGCGUGGAGGAUGAAGCCCCUUGGGGUGUAAACUCCUUUCGACCAAGACGAUAAUGACGGUACUGGUGGAAGAAGCACCGGCUAACUCUGUGCCAGCAGCCGC
RNAcentral lists this ribosomal RNA (458 nucleotides) under uncultured bacterium. RNAcentral's name for it is "SSU rRNA". It matches the Rfam family "Bacterial small subunit ribosomal RNA", at positions 26 to 518 of the family's 1533-position model. The record is from RNAcentral.